UAGAAUGCCGCGGGUGGUCACAUGUGAGCGCCGCGGCUACUACCUUACUGGACACAGUGCGCCUGGCUACUGCACUAGUAGAAUGCCGCGGGUGGUGACAUGUCAGCGCCACGGCUACUAGGAUAGUGGACACAGCGCGCCUGGCUACUGCACUAGUAGAAUGCCGCGGGUGGUGACAUGUGAGCGCCGCGGCUACUACCUUACUGGACACAGCGCGCCUGGCUACUGCACUAGUAGAAUGCCGCGGGUGGUGACACGUCAGCGCCACGGCUACUAGGAUAGUGGACACAGCGCGCCUGGCUACUACACUAGUAGAAUGCCGCGGGUGGUCACAUGUCAGCUCCACGGCUACUAGGAUAGUGGACACAGCGCGCCUGGCUACUGCACUAGUAGAAUGCCGCGGGUGGUGACACGUCAGCGCCGCGGUACUAGGUUAGUGGACACAGCGCGCCUGGCUACUGCACUAGUAGAAUGCCGCGGGUGGUGACACGUCAGCGCCGCGGCUACUAGCUUACUGGACACAGCGCGCCUGGCUACUGCACUAGUAGAAUGCCGCGGGUGGUGACACGUCAGCGCCGCGGCUACUAGGAUAGUGGACACAGCGCGCCUGGCUACUACACUAGUAGAAUGCCGCGGGUGGUGACACGUCAGCGCCGCGGCUACUAGGAUAGUGGACACAGCGCGCCUGGCUACUGCACUAGCACAAUGCCGCGGGUGGUGACACGUCAGCGCCACGGCUACUAGGAUAGUGGACACAGCGCGCCUGGCUACUGCACUAAUAGAAUGCCGCGGGUGGUGACACGUCAGCGCCGCGGCUGCUAGCUUAGUUGACACAGCGCGCCUGGCUACUGCACUAGUAGAAUGCUGCGGGUGGUGACACGUCAGCUCCACGGCUACUAGGAUAGUGGACACAGCGCGCCUGGCUACUGCACUAGUAGAAUGCCGCGGGUGGUGACACGUCAGCGCCGCG
Molecule: long non-coding RNA, 970 nt
Filed under: Volvox carteri
Lineage: Eukaryota; Viridiplantae; Chlorophyta; Chlorophyceae; Chlamydomonadales; Volvocaceae
Description: long non-coding RNA (VCAR_LNC003621)
Source: RNAcentral